CCCCCGCCCAUCACCACCGCCACUACGGGAGCGCGGGACGUGGGUCUGCAGUGCUGGAGGUUGUUCUACAGUCACUGUUCACAGGAUUGAAGUCGAGGUUUGGGCAGAGCCAGAUCUGGUUGAAUCCAUGGACAGCCACCAAUAAUUUUUGGAGCUUGUAUGUUGUCAGCAGCGUGCUCUAGAGUCUUGCCAAGAUUGUGGAUGUAUUUGCAGCCUCUACUUUUUCCCACUUUUUGAAAACUGGAACAGAAGGUGAUCCCACUGAAGUCAUCUGGCUUCCAUUGUCAACUUGUGUCCAAUAAACCCAGAUACACAUUCCCAGACCCUUUUCCUCUAUCCUCCAGGCCCAUUGAUCCACCUGCCUGCUGGACAUCUCAGCUUAGUUUCCUCACUGAUCCCCUUAAACCUCUAAUUCAAGUGCCCAAAGCUAAACUUAUGACUGUUCCAUCCAUGACCUCUCCCAAGAAGUGGCUUAGUUAUACAGCCAGUUGCUGUGGCAGAAACCCAGUGGUUUUCCAUAAACUUCCCAUAUUCAAUCAAUCACAAAAACUUUCAUGAAGUUCCUUCCAGUUAUUCCAUGAUCAUGAUAAGCCUCUCUGUCUCUUCUCAAGCUGGGAUGUUUGGGCAUCUCAUGCCCAGAUCCUGGAAAUUGAGUGUCACAAGACCCAAGCCUUGCUGACCAGGACCUUCCUGCGAUUUGCUGAACCAUUGGAAAGCUUCUUAGGUGACAAACCUGAAGCACAAGUGAAAGCAGUAUCAACCUUUCUUCUUGAAGGACAACAGGCCAACCAUGAAAGUCUUGGGCCCUCUCUUCCUUAGGAUUUAUUGCCCUUCUGAUCUUUAACACCAGUUGAUACCGAGGAGAAAUCUGAAGUCAAGUUGAUCUUUUGUUUUUCUUCCCUUGGGAGAAACUUGAAUUUUCCAGUUAGAAUGAUCAUGAGCUCCUGUGUUCUGCAAACAUAGAACUGAAGAAGUGUGACAAACCCAGAUAUCCAUAGCUAAGGUAUCAAACUGAAGACAAUAGAUGCAGUGAAUCUACAUAAAACCCAGAAUACUGAGCUGCAACUUGGGUUAGGAGUAGGGGACAGUGGAGAAUACUUGGAAAUUUCAGUUCAAUAAAGAGAUGAAAGUUAUAUAAGUACACGAAAAUAUCAAAGCAUUUUCUUAGUUUAUUUCACAAUAAAGGAUGCAUUUACUGUUU
This is a long non-coding RNA of Marmota flaviventris (yellow-bellied marmot), 1201 nucleotides long. RefSeq lists it as uncharacterized. The record is from RefSeq and is a predicted model, not a curated record. NCBI's taxonomy places the organism in Eukaryota, Metazoa, Chordata, Mammalia, Rodentia, Sciuridae.